UGGGCGUAAAGGGCUCGCAGGCGGUUUCUUAAGUCUGAUGUGAAAGCCCCCGGCUCAACCGGGGAGGGUCAUUGGAAACUGGGGAACUUGAGUGCAGAAGAGGAGAGUGGAAUUCCACGUGUAGCGGUGAAAUGCGUAGAGAUGUGGAGGAACACCAGUGGCGAAGGCGACUCUCUGGUCUGUAACUGACGCUGAGGAGCGAAAGCGUGGGGAGCGAACAGGAUUAGAUACCCUGGUAGUCCACGCCGUAAACGAUGAGUGCUAAGUGUUAGGGGGUUUCCGCCCCUUAGUGCUGCCGCUAACGCAUUAAGCACUCCCCCCGGGGAGUACGGUCGCAAGACUGAAACUCACAGGAAUUGACGGGGGCCCGCACACGCGCUGGAGCAUGUGGUUUAAUUCUAAGCAACGCGCAGAACCUUACCAGGUCUUGACAUCCUCUGAGGGG
Molecule: ribosomal RNA, 445 nt
Filed under: Bacillus subtilis
Lineage: Bacteria; Bacillati; Bacillota; Bacilli; Caryophanales; Bacillaceae
Description: bacterial SSU rRNA
Rfam family: Bacterial small subunit ribosomal RNA
Source: RNAcentral